UGAGAAAUGUGGCCUAUCUAUGGAAGGAAUCUUUCGUUACUAGAACCCCUUCCUAGUGACUGUAAGCGAAAUGCAUUUAGCGAACGCCUGGGGGUACUGAGUUCCAUACUUUUUAUUAUAGAAAUGUUAUCUCUAUCUAAACGACUAAGUCUUCCAGUGAUCUCUCCCCCACCCAAAACCAUCCCUUCCAGCGUUAGCGCACAAGAAGGAGCUUUUGGCAGUGAGUCGAAAGUCUUAGUGAGAAGCCCUCUUAAGACUCUUUCCACUCUUCUCUGAGUGCCUUCAACAGUGCUUAGGUAGCGCUCACUGCGAGAUAGGCAGCUCAGCUUACUAUUAUUCCUACCCUAAUGUGUCAAGAAUAGAAUAGGUAGCACAGGUCAGCAAGCAUAGCUAGAUCUAAGGUAUUUGCAUCAGAAAGUCUAUCCUACCCCAACCCACUUCUUGGUUCUUUCUACUAUAUAUAAUAUGUGACCAGAGAAAUGGGGAGAUAGGAGAGUCUCGAUCAUGUGAGAGAAUUAGGUAUGGAAAACUGACUCACAUACGAAUAACUCUUCUUAAGGCAGGAGCCUAGCCUAUUUUUUCAGAAAUGCAAGAGAGAGUACGCUAAUGUAGGAGUGUGCUGCCUAGCAAAGUACUACUCUUAGCAACUAGCUUUACUGAAAGCCUUAGUAAGUCAGUCUAGAAACUUCCUCUUAGCUUAAGGGGUGGGUUGGUUAGGUUUAUUGCACCAAAAAGUCAAGGAACUAAGAAC
RNAcentral lists this long non-coding RNA (751 nucleotides) under Gossypium barbadense (sea-island cotton). Its description in RNAcentral is "long non-coding RNA (GBAR_LNC023102)". The record is from RNAcentral. Lineage: Eukaryota; Viridiplantae; Streptophyta; Magnoliopsida; Malvales; Malvaceae.